Molecule: ribosomal RNA, 208 nt
Filed under: uncultured bacterium
Lineage: Bacteria
Description: partial 16S ribosomal RNA
Rfam family: Bacterial small subunit ribosomal RNA
Source: RNAcentral
UGCGUAGGCGGCCCUUUAAGUCGGAUGUGAAAGCCCGCGGCUUAACCGCGGAAUGGCAUUCGAAACUGGAGGGCUUGAGUGUCGGAGAGGGUAGUGGAAUUCCCAGUGUAGCGGUGAAAUGCGUAGAUAUUGGGAGGAACACCAGUGGCGAAGGCGACUACCUGGACGAUAACUGACGCUGAGGCACGAAAGCUAGGGGAGCAAACAG